RNAcentral lists this ribosomal RNA (497 nucleotides) under uncultured bacterium. RNAcentral describes it as "partial 16S ribosomal RNA". It matches the Rfam family "Bacterial small subunit ribosomal RNA", at positions 28 to 507 of the family's 1533-position model. The record is from RNAcentral.
GAUGAACGCUGGUGGCGUGCCUAAUACAUGCAAGUCGAGCGAACGGACGAGAAGCUUGCUUCUCUGAUGUUAGCGGCGGACGGGUGAGUAACACGUGGAUAACCUACCUAUAAGACUGGGAUAACUUCGGGAAACCGGAGCUAAUACCGGAUAAUAUUUUGAACCGCAUGGUUCAAAAGUGAAAGACGGUCUUGCUGUCACUUAUAGAUGGAUCCGCGCUGCAUUAGCUAGUUGGUAAGGUAACGGCUUACCAAGGCAACGAUGCAUAGCCGACCUGAGAGGGUGAUCGGCCACACUGGAACUGAGACACGGUCCAGACUCCUACGGGAGGCAGCAGUAGGGAAUCUUCCGCAAUGGGCGAAAGCCUGACGGAGCAACGCCGCGUGAGUGAUGAAGGUCUUCGGAUCGUAAAACUCUGUUAUUAGGGAAGAACAUAUGUGUAAGUAACUGUGCACAUCUUGACGGUACCUAAUCAGAAAGCCACGGCUAACUACGUG